GCUCCACUACCAAAAGGAAGCCAAGCCCUGCCACCCUUUACAACAAAACAAGGUGUGAUCACAUUGAUGCCACAAUGGACGACUGAUCAAUGCUCCACUACCUUUUUUUUUUUUUUUUUACUUUGAUUUUUAUUAGGUUAUUUUAUCAUUGUGGACAUACAGUAAAGAAAAUAACAAACAGACAUACAAAUGGGUCUAUAAUUCUUGCAGUAUUCUUUGUUUUUUCCUUCUUUGGGUAAGAUUGUUAUAAUAGCUUCUCCCCAUGAUGGUGGAGCUAUUCCCUGAUUCAGAGUCCAGUUGAAGCAAGAUAGAAGAAGUGGCUUGAGUUCUUCUUUGAAAACUUUGUAACUUUGUAGGUGUGAUCACAUUGAUGCCACAAUGGACGACUGAUCAAUGCUCCACUACCUUUUUUUUUUUUUUUUUUACUUUGAUUUUUAUUAGGUUAUUUUAUCAUUGUGGACAUACAGUAAAGAAAAUAACAAACAGACAUACAUAUAAACAAACAGAGUCUGGAGUUUACAUAUCUUUCUCCAUUUAUCACAUUGCAGAAAAAAAAAGAAAACCUAUUAUGUUAUUUCAUUUGUGUCACUUCUGAAUGUUUUCCACUUCCUCCAUAGUCUGUCGUAUUUACCUCCCAUCAGUCUAAUGUUGAGUGUUAUUUUUUCCAUCUCUGAGAUAUCCUCUACAAUACUUGCAGUAUUCUUUGUUUUUUCCUUCUUUGGGUAAGAUUGUUAUAAUAGCUUCUCCCCAUGAUGGUGGAGCUAUUCCCUGA
Long non-coding RNA from Astatotilapia calliptera (eastern happy), 772 nucleotides. The record is from Ensembl. Lineage: Eukaryota; Metazoa; Chordata; Actinopteri; Cichliformes; Cichlidae.